This is a long non-coding RNA of Oreochromis niloticus (Nile tilapia), 314 nucleotides long. RefSeq lists it as uncharacterized. Lineage: Eukaryota; Metazoa; Chordata; Actinopteri; Cichliformes; Cichlidae. The transcript is spliced from 3 exons. The record is from RefSeq and is a predicted model, not a curated record.
CAAAAUACAAAGAAACUCAAAAACACUGGGUCGCAUGACCCAGGACCGUGACAAUUUAAAGAGGAUUUUUCUUCAACCUUAAAGCAGCUCUGUCUAAAUGUCAGAUUGUCUGAAGCUGGUCUGCUAUCUGCUACUACUCACCUGCUGCCUAUCCACUGCUCACUUUAAAUAAGAAAAGGAUCGGAGAGAUCACCAACCUGCCCUACCUCCACUCUGAACACAAGUGGAUGGGGUGAUGCAGACAAUAAAACACUCACAGUUUGAGGAGCAUUGAUGACACCAGUGUUGUAGCCAAACUGAAGCGAGCCAAUCAC